CAGCAGCCACGGUAAUACGAAGGGUGCAAGCGUUAAUCGGAUUUACUGGGCGUAAAGGGCGCGUAGGUGGUUAUUUAAGUGAGAUGUGAAAGCCCCGGGCUUAACCUGGGAACUGCAUCUUAUACUGGGUAACUGGAGUGCAGUAGAGGGUAGUGGAAUUUCCGGUGUAGCGGUGAAAUGCGUAGAUAUCGGAAGGAACACCAGUGGCGAAGGCGGCUACCUGGACUGAGACUGACACUGAGGCGCGAGAGCGUGGGGAGCAAACAGGAUUAGAUACCCGAGUAGUCCCUGUCUCUUAUAC
RNAcentral lists this ribosomal RNA (301 nucleotides) under uncultured bacterium. Its description in RNAcentral is "partial 16S ribosomal RNA". It matches the Rfam family "Bacterial small subunit ribosomal RNA", at positions 509 to 807 of the family's 1533-position model. The record is from RNAcentral.